AAUAUACUCCCUCCGUCCGAAAAUACUUGUCAUGAAAAUGGAUAAAAAGGAUGUAUCUAGAAUUAAAAUAAUACAUCUAGAUACAUCCCCUUUUAUUCAUUUUGGUGACAAGUAUUUCCGGACGAAGGGAGUAUAUG
Molecule: non-coding RNA, 137 nt
Organism: Triticum aestivum (bread wheat)
Lineage: Eukaryota; Viridiplantae; Streptophyta; Magnoliopsida; Poales; Poaceae
Source: Rfam